UACAGAGGUGGCAAGCGUUGUUCGGAAUUACUGGGCGUAAAGGGCGCGUAGGCGGCCUACUAAGUCAGACGUGAAAUCCCCCGGCUUAACCUGGGAACUGCGUCUGAUACUGGAAGGCUUGAGGAUGGGAGAGGGAUGUAGAAUUCCAGGUGUAGCGGUGAAAUGCGUAGAUAUCUGGAGGAAUACCGGUGGCGAAGGCGGCAUCCUGGACCAUUACUGACGCUGAGGCGCGAAAGCUGGGGGAGCAAACGGG
RNAcentral lists this ribosomal RNA (253 nucleotides) under uncultured bacterium. Its description in RNAcentral is "partial 16S ribosomal RNA". It matches the Rfam family "Bacterial small subunit ribosomal RNA", at positions 524 to 776 of the family's 1533-position model. The record is from RNAcentral.